RNAcentral lists this ribosomal RNA (459 nucleotides) under uncultured bacterium. Its description in RNAcentral is "partial 16S ribosomal RNA". It matches the Rfam family "Bacterial small subunit ribosomal RNA", at positions 338 to 795 of the family's 1533-position model. The record is from RNAcentral.
CCUACGGGAGGCAGCAGUGAGGAAUAUUGGUCAAUGGCCGGAAGGCUGAACCAGCCAAGCCGCGUGAAGGACGAAGGUGCCAAGCAUUGUAAACUUCUUUUGUCAAGGGACAACAUCAGGCUCGAGAGCCUGACCGAGGGUACUUGAAGAAAAAGCAUCGGCUAACUCCGUGCCAGCAGCCGCGGUAAUACGGAGGACGCGAGCGUUAUCCGGAUUUAUUGGGGUUAAAGGGUGCGUAGGCGGACUGUAAAGUCAGCGGUAAAAGCCCGGGGCUCAACCCCGGCGAGCCGUUGAAACUGGUUGUCUUGAGAUGUCGAGAGGUAUGCGGAAUGCGCAGUGUAGCGGUGAAAUGCUUAGAUAUUGCGCAGAACUCCGAUUGCGAAGGCAGCAUGCCGGCGGCGAUCUGACGCUGAGGCACGAAAGCGUGGGUAUCGAACAGGAUUAGAUACCCUAGUAGUC